AGAGAUUUUUGAAAGAAAAUAGCUGCUAACUAAUUUUCUAAGCGGUUAAAUUCCGUUUGUCUCUU
RNAcentral lists this transfer RNA (65 nucleotides) under Idioscopus clypealis. RNAcentral describes it as "tRNA-Ser". The record is from RNAcentral. Lineage: Eukaryota; Metazoa; Arthropoda; Insecta; Hemiptera; Cicadellidae.